GUUUAUAUAGUUUAAAAAAACAUUACAUUUUCAAUGUAAAAUUAGAAACUUUUCUUAUAAAUA
RNAcentral lists this transfer RNA (63 nucleotides) under Bifidoprionus rufus. Its description in RNAcentral is "tRNA-Glu". It matches the Rfam family "tRNA". Rfam says of the family: Transfer RNA (tRNA) molecules are approximately 80 nucleotides in length. Their secondary structure includes four short double-helical elements and three loops (D, anti-codon, and T loops). Lineage: Eukaryota; Metazoa; Arthropoda; Insecta; Coleoptera; Cerambycidae. The record is from RNAcentral.